UAGGGAAUCUUCGGCAAUGGGGGGAACCCUGACCGGGCAACGCCGCGUGAGUGAAGAAGGUUUUAGGAUCGUAAAGCUCUGUUGUUAAGGAAGAACGAGUGUGAGAAUGGAAAGUUCAUACUGUGACGGUACUUAACCAGAAAGGGACGGCUAACUACGUGCCAGCAGCCGCGGUAAUACGUAGGUCCCGAGCGUUGUCCGGAUUUAUUGGGCGUAAAGCGAGCGCAGGCGGUUAGAUAAGUCUGAAGUUAAAGGCAGUGGCUCAACCAUUGUAGGCUUUGGAAACUGUUUAACUUGAGUGCAGAAGGGGAGAGUGGAAUUCCAUGUGUAGCGGUGAAAUGCGUAGAUAUAUGGAGGAACACCGGUGGCGAAAGCGGCUCUCUGGUCUGUAACUGACGCUGAGGCUCGAAAGCGUGGGGAGCGAACAGG
RNAcentral lists this ribosomal RNA (429 nucleotides) under Bacteroidota bacterium. Its description in RNAcentral is "Bacteroidetes bacterium partial 16S ribosomal RNA". It matches the Rfam family "Bacterial small subunit ribosomal RNA", at positions 355 to 776 of the family's 1533-position model. Lineage: Bacteria; Pseudomonadati; Bacteroidota. The record is from RNAcentral.